This 65-nucleotide small nucleolar RNA is filed under the name Equus asinus (donkey). The record is from RNAcentral. Lineage: Eukaryota; Metazoa; Chordata; Mammalia; Perissodactyla; Equidae.
UUGUAAUGAUGUUGAUCAAAUGUCUGACCUGAAAUGAGCAUGUAGACCAAUUUAACACUGAAGAA